This 790-nucleotide transfer RNA is filed under the name uncultured Synechococcus sp. Its description in RNAcentral is "partial 16S-23S ribosomal RNA intergenic spacer". The stretch from base 289 to 361 matches the Rfam family "tRNA". The record is from RNAcentral. Lineage: Bacteria; Bacillati; Cyanobacteriota; Cyanophyceae; Synechococcales; Synechococcaceae.
GGCUGGAUCACCUCCUAACAGGGAGACAAUACCUGAUCGUGAUGUCUGAGUAAUUUAAUCUCAGGCCAUGAUCCUGUCAUCUCGAAGGUCGAUCGGUACCUCAACUUGAGCGUAAGAGAAGAGCUGAGCAAUCAGUUUGGAGACUUGCAAUCAACUUCAGUUCCUAAACUUUGUCUAGGUCACCCCACAGCGGGUUACAACUCCUGGGCCAUUAGCUCAGGUGGUUAGAGCGCACCCCUGAUAAGGGUGAGGUCCCUGGUUCAAGUCCAGGAUGGCCCAUUCGUGUUUGGGGGUUUAGCUCAGUUGGUAGAGCGCCUGCUUUGCAAGCAGGAUGUCAGCGGUUCGAGUCCGCUAACCUCCAUCCAAUUGCUGAUGCUCUUCCCUCGGACCAUGCAUGCUUGAGAAAGCGUGUGAGGUAAGGAGUUCUGCUGUUGUGUUGAUCUAGUAUGUUGUUCGCUGAAGAUUUCAGCUUCUUUUCAUUCUUGACUACCAAGUUAAGUUGAAAAGACGCUGGAUUCAAUGCUGCCCUGGCAACAGGGCUGUUUGAAUGUCAGCAGAACCUUGACAACUGCAUAGUUGAAGUCUGGAAAUAAAGCAUCUCAUGGAUGCUUGAUUCUAGUUUGCGUCAAAUCCAGAAAUGGAUAGGAUGACAAAGUUGAAUCAAGAAAAUUCUAUUGAGUUUUAGAGCCGAGAGCUUCCAGUUUUCUUCUGAGCCCGCCGAGGGUUUGGGAGUUUGAUCCUGGCAUUCAAACCACAGUUUAGUUCAUGAGCAAUUGUGAUCAAGAGUGUA